RNAcentral lists this ribosomal RNA (301 nucleotides) under uncultured bacterium. RNAcentral describes it as "partial 16S ribosomal RNA". It matches the Rfam family "Bacterial small subunit ribosomal RNA", at positions 509 to 807 of the family's 1533-position model. The record is from RNAcentral.
CAGUCGCCACGGGAAUACAGAGGGUGCGAGCGUUAAUCGGAUUUACUGGGCGUAAAGCGUGCGUAGGCGGCUUUUUAAGUCGGAUGUGAAAUCCCUGAGCUUAACUUAGGAAUUGCAUUCGAUACUGGGAAGCUAGAGUAUGGGAGAGGAUGGUAGAAUUCCAGGUGUAGCGGUGAAAUGCGUAGAGAUCUGGAGGAAUACCGAUGGCGAAGGCAGCCAUCUGGCCUAAUACUGACGCUGAGGUACGAAAGCAUGGGGAGCAAACAGGAUUAGAUACCCCGGUAGUCCCUGUCUCUUAUAC